This 1507-nucleotide ribosomal RNA is filed under the name Lactiplantibacillus plantarum. RNAcentral's name for it is "partial 16S ribosomal RNA". It matches the Rfam family "Bacterial small subunit ribosomal RNA". The record is from RNAcentral. Lineage: Bacteria; Bacillati; Bacillota; Bacilli; Lactobacillales; Lactobacillaceae.
AGUUUGAUCCUGGCUCAGGACGAACGCUGGCGGCGUGCCUAAUACAUGCAAGUCGAACGAACUCUGGUAUUGAUUGGUGCUUGCAUCAUGAUUUACAUUUGAGUGAGUGGCGAACUGGUGAGUAACACGUGGGAAACCUGCCCAGAAGCGGGGGAUAACACCUGGAAACAGAUGCUAAUACCGCAUAACAACUUGGACCGCAUGGUCCGAGUUUGAAAGAUGGCUUCGGCUAUCACUUUUGGAUGGUCCCGCGGCGUAUUAGCUAGAUGGUGGGGUAACGGCUCACCAUGGCAAUGAUACGUAGCCGACCUGAGAGGGUAAUCGGCCACAUUGGGACUGAGACACGGCCCAAGCUCCUACGGGAGGCAGCAGUAGGGAAUCUUCCACAAUGGACGAAAGUCUGAUGGAGCAACGCCGCGUGAGUGAAGAAGGGUUUCGGCUCGUAAAACUCUGUUGUUAAAGAAGAACAUAUCUGAGAGUAACUGUUCAGGUAUUGACGGUAUUUAACCAGAAAGCCACGGCUAACUACGUGCCAGCAGCCGCGGUAAUACGUAGGUGGCAAGCGUUGUCCGGAUUUAUUGGGCGUAAAGCGAGCGCAGGCGGUUUUUUAAGUCUGAUGUGAAAGCCUUCGGCUCAACCGAAGAAGUGCAUCGGAAACUGGGAAACUUGAGUGCAGAAGAGGACAGUGGAACUCCAUGUGUAGCGGUGAAAUGCGUAGAUAUAUGGAAGAACACCAGUGGCGAAGGCGGCUGUCUGGUCUGUAACUGACGCUGAGGCUCGAAAGUAUGGGUAGCAAACAGGAUUAGAUACCCUGGUAGUCCAUACCGUAAACGAUGAAUGCUAAGUGUUGGAGGGUUUCCGCCCUUCAGUGCUGCAGCUAACGCAUUAAGCAUUCCGCCUGGGGAGUACGGCCGCAAGGCUGAAACUCAAAGGAAUUGACGGGGGCCCGCACAAGCGGUGGAGCAUGUGGUUUAAUUCGAAGCUACGCGAAGAACCUUACCAGGUCUUGACAUACUAUGCAAAUCUAAGAGAUUAGACGUUCCCUUCGGGGACAUGGAUACAGGUGGUGCAUGGUUGUCGUCAGCUCGUGUCGUGAGAUGUUGGGUUAAGUCCCGCAACGAGCGCAACCCUUAUUAUCAGUUGCCAGCAUUAAGUUGGGCACUCUGGUGAGACUGCCGGUGACAAACCGGAGGAAGGUGGGGAUGACGUCAAAUCAUCAUGCCCCUUAUGACCUGGGCUACACACGUGCUACAAUGGAUGGUACAACGAGUUGCGAACUCGCGAGAGUAAGCUAAUCUCUUAAAGCCAUUCUCAGUUCGGAUUGUAGGCUGCAACUCGCCUACAUGAAGUCGGAAUCGCUAGUAAUCGCGGAUCAGCAUGCCGCGGUGAAUACGUUCCCGGGCCUUGUACACACCGCCCGUCACACCAUGAGAGUUUGUAACACCCAAAGUCGGUGGGGUAACCUUUUAGGAACCAGCCGCCUAAGGUGGGACAGAUGAUUAGGGUG